Molecule: transfer RNA, 64 nt
Filed under: Marmota monax (woodchuck)
Lineage: Eukaryota; Metazoa; Chordata; Mammalia; Rodentia; Sciuridae
Description: tRNA.Ala
Source: RNAcentral
GUGUAGCUCAGUGGUAGAAUACUUGCCUAGCAUGCACAAGGCCCUGGAUUCAAUCCCCAGCACA